RNA transcript from Pecten maximus, 5237 nucleotides. RefSeq lists it as uncharacterized. NCBI's taxonomy places the organism in Eukaryota, Metazoa, Mollusca, Bivalvia, Pectinida, Pectinidae. The record is from RefSeq and is a predicted model, not a curated record. The transcript is spliced from 9 exons.
AGUUCAGACUGACACCAUCCUCUCAUCUAAACAUGUUGCUCUGCAGUAAUGUUUCACUUUAACUUGGUCGAUCUUCGUCGAAAUGUAAGGAACAUGUUUUAUUUAGUAACAUAUUGAGGACAUCUUGUAAUACACGUGAAUCCGUGGGCUCACAUCCGGGGCCCGAAUCAUAUUCAAGUUAAACCGGUACACAAAAUACGGUGGAUAAUACCAGCGAUCAUUUAAAACAUUCUAGAGACAUCAUCAGCAUAUCUGCUAAUAUAAUCCUGAAGACAGAAAGGUUCAACAGCGUUAUGGAUACCGGGAUUGUUUGAUUGACUUGGAGGAGGAAAACUAUACACUGUUUACAAGUUUAAAGGUCGUUGAUACUAUUGUUGAUGAAACUACUGUAAAAACUGACAUAAUUGGAACAGGAUACUCGAUUAAUGUUACAAACAAAGCCAAAGAUAUGUCGACAUUUGAAGAAAACCUGCCGAUUGUCGGAGUGAAUGAUUUAGCUAACACUGUUGCAGAAGGAUACUUGGAGAAGAAACGCAAAGAAAAAAAGUUCCGGAGUGAAAAGUUACAGAAGAGGUGGUGCGUCAUCCAGGAUAAUAACUUCUACUAUUUCGUCAAACCUAAUGAUCUGAAACAGAAAGGGAGCUUCAGCCUCAAAGGUUAUUCGUUCCAUAGGCUUGGUGACCUGUCAUUCUCUGUUGUGUGUGAAGGGAGAAGACAUUAUGAGUUUGUAGCGCCUUCAAAAGAAGAAGCAGAGAAAUGGAGAAAGGCUAUUGUGAAAGCAAGUGCAUCAAAGAAAGUGUUAAGAAAAAGUGAUAGCUGCCCUGGCAUCGAUCCGACACCUCCAGUAUCGCCUACACGGGAUCGCUCCGUCAGUAUUCCUUCAGAUAGCAAAUCCGUGGGAAUACCGCCGAAAAUAAAGGCCCGAUCGCACACUCCGGAUCCUUUCGGUAAGAGUCCAAACUUGAAUUCGCGAGACAGAUCAAACACACUUGGAAGAGAAGGUCGAAGUGAAACUCGGCCUAAUCCACGAAGCGCCCUACUCAAGAAAACACAAUCCUCGCCAUACACUGACAAAAGUUUUAAACCAACACUAGUCUCUACAAAGAAACAAAGUGUAGAUGAGUACGGUUAUGCAAAAGUUAAAGCCAGUAAGGGGAGCCACUCCUCUUUAGAUAGAUUGGAAAAGAAUGAAACCAUUAGGACUCAACAUUGGUGUAGCAGUAGUGAGGACAGCGACUCAGAUUACGAUACUGUUGACCCCGUGCGUCCAAUACCAAUCCCACGGUCUAAACCAGUUCAAAACAUCUUAUCCAGGCCGGGACUAGAAAAUCAAAGAAACCUUUCUCUUAAUAGGCGGCAAAUGCCUGUUCCACCUCCGAAGUCUAACAGUCCAGUUAGUAGUGAUGACGAAGAAGAAUACGACAUCCCGGAUGAAUCACUUCUCCGUCCUGAAUCGGAUUAUGACAUUGCUGGAAAUUAUCUUCGCAAGAAAAAAGAAAAUCUUGUCAAAACAGAUAGUGCAAAAGAAGAUUACAUCAAUGCAUCAAAAUUAAAGUUAAAGUCAAAUCAGCUUACCACAUCGUCAUGUAAACUAGAUAUUAAACAAGAUAUGGACAAAUCUCGUUAUGGUAUACCGACGGAUGAAACUGUGCGAACAGAUCAGGAAGAAGAAGAAGAAGAAGAAGAGUAUUAUAUGGAUACAUCAAAAAUAGCUACUUUGCCGAAUACGAAAAGAAGACAGAAGACAACAACUGAUCUAGCCGCAGUCACCAGUAAACUCAACAGUAUCCCAGUUCAAGACGAUGUAUAUAUCGAGCAUUCUUCUGGACCUCUUCUAAUGAAUUCUGACGACAGCGAAUCUCUUUAUUUUAUUCCGAUGGAUGAAACUGUGCAUUUGCAAAAUGCCGAACCUACUCACUGUCAACCGGAAUUCGAGGAAGAAAACCCAUACUUCGAACCUGUCUCCGACGUGGUAGAAUCAAGUCAAACACCAGAAUUGCAAAUGGCGAUAGCUAGAAGCACAUCUGUAGAGGGAAGCACUGCAAUAAGUCACGCAUCGAAUAAACUACCUCGAACGCCCAGUCGAAAUAGUGAUGGUUAUUCCAAACCUGAGGAUGUCGCACUUCUUAAACGUAAGCCAUCAGCAUCAGAUACCAAAAAGAGCAAUCUCUUCACUGACGACUCGGUCAUAUAUGUUAAUCUUCCAUGUGUCAUGUCAGAAACCUCGCAGAGUAAACAGACGGCGCGGCAAGACCAUGUCCACUCUAGCACAAAGAAACUGCACAAUGCGAAACUGAAAGAUAGUGUAGAUGAUAGUAGUUAUUCUGAUUCUGAUGACUAUGACUACAGUGAGUAUUAACGUUGGAUAUGAAGCAUCCUGUUUAUCUUGACGAUGGACAUGAUGCAAACGGCGAGGGUAGGCUAUGUUAAACAUGUGCGGUUAACACAAUUUGAUAUUUAAAUAGGUUCGCUGUUUUACACAAAGUGAGAGCACUUUACUACGAGUGCUGUAGUGAUAACAUGUAGAGCAAAUAUUACUAUUUGAGUGCCGUGUUCAAAGUGCUGUCUAGUAGACGACAAUGGAUAAGCGUGCAACAGACAAUUCACUACUUAUGUAAAAGUGUCAAAGUUCUAGCGUGAGUAGACAAUGGAUUAUGUGUGUCGAGGUGUUAACAAAAGUGACCAACGGUUAACUAGGUGUGUCGAGGUGUUAACGCUAGUAACAGACAGUUAACUAUGUGUGUCGAGGUGUUAACACAAGUGACCAACAGUUAACUAGGUGUGUCGAGGUGUUAACGCUAGUAACAGACAGUUAACUAGGUGUGUCGAGGUAUUAAAGCUAGUAACAGACAGUUAACUAGGUGUGUCGAGGUGUUGGCGCUAGUAACAGACAGUUACCUGGGUGUGUCGAGGUGUUGGCGCUAGUAACAGACAGUUACCUGGGUGUGUCGAGGUGUUAACGCUGGUGACAGACAGUUACCUAGGUAUGUCGAGGUAUCAGCGUAGAUGUUAAUGCAAGUAACAGACAAUUAACUUGGUAAGUUGAGGUGUUAACGCGUAUUACAGACAAUGGACAUGGUGUUUCAAUGUGUUAGCGUGAGUGACAGACAAAACAAAUGGACUAGGUGUAUCAAUGUGUUAGAGUGACAGACAAAACAAAUGGACUAGGUAUAUCAAUGUGUUAGAGUGACAGACAAAACAAAUGGACUAGGUAUAUCAAUGUGUUAGAGUGACAGACAAAGCAAAUGGACUAGGUAUAUCAAUGUGUUAACGUGAGUGACAGACAAAACAGAUGGAAUAGGUGUAUCAAUGUGUUAACGUGAGUGACAGACAAAACAAAUGGACUAGGUAUAUCAAUGUGUUAGAGUGACAGUCAAAACAAAUGGACUAGGUAUAUCAAUGUGUUAGAGUGACAGACAAAGCAAAUGGACUAGGUAUAUCAAUGUGUUAACGUGAGUGACAGACAAAACAAAUGGACUAGGUAUAUCAAUGUGUUAACGUGAGUGACAGACAAAACAAAUGGACUAGGUAUAUCAAUGUGUUAGAGUGACAGACAAAACAAAUGGACUAGGUAUAUCAAUGUGUUAUAGUGACAGACAAAACAGAUGGAAUAGGUGUGUCAAUGUGUUAACGUGAGUGACAGACAAAACAAAUGGACUAGGUAUAUCAAUGUGUUAAAGUGACAGACAAAGCAAAUGGACUAGGUGUGUCAAUGUGUUAACGCGGACGGAUAUAUAUAUUUUUGCCACAUGAAAUUAUUUGAAUUAUUAAGUUGCUUCCCCCUUUUCAUCUGAUUACUGUUGUUACAUAUGUAUUUGCUAUUAAUAACAGUUCACCAUUAAUAUGUUUUGUAGAAGGCGAACAAUUUACCAUAAAUAUGUUUUGUAGAAGGGAGCAACUUAUCAUUAAUAUGUUUUGUAGAAGGCGAACAAUUUACCAUUAAUAUGUUCUGUUGAAGGCGAACAAUUUAUCAUUAAUAUGUUCUGUUGAAGGCGAACAAUUUACCAUUAAUAUGUUUUGUAGAAGGCGAACAAUUUACCAUUAAUAUGUUUUGUAGAAGGCGAACAAUUUACCAUUAAUAUGUUCUGUUGAAGGCGAACAAUUUACCAUUAAUAUGUUUUGUAGAAGGCGAACAAUUUACCAUUAAUAUGUUUUGUAGAAGGCGAACAAUUUACCAUUAAUAUGUUCUGUAGAUGGCGAACAAUUUACCAUUAAUAUGUUUUGUAGAAGGCGAACAAUUUACCAUUAAUAUGUUCUGUUGAAGGCGAACAAUUUACCAUUAAUAUGUUUUGUAGAAGGCGAACAAUUUACCAUUAAUAUGUUCUGUAAAAAGCGAACAAUUUACCAUUAGUAUGUACUGUAAAAAGCGAACAAUUUACCAUAAAUAUGUUCUGUAGAUGGCGAACAAUUUACUAUUAUUAUGAAUUGUUGAAGGCGAACAAUUUACUAUAAAUAUGUACUGUAAAAAGCGAACAAUUUACCAUAAAUUUACUAUUAUUAUGAAUUGUUGAAGGCGAACAAUUUACUAUAAAUAUGUACUGUAAAAAGCGAACAAUUUACCAUAAAUUUACUAUUAUUAUGAAUUGUUGAAGGCGAACAAUUUACUAUAAAUAUACAUGUAUACUAUACAAGGGGAAUAAUUUACCAUUUGUACAUAUUGUAGAAUGGGAACAAUGUAUCAAUAUUAUUUAGUGUAGAAAGUGAACAAUUUACCAGAAUCAUUCCUUGCCAUGUUUCGAUUCUGGUUGCCGUUAUUACACAAUACCAUAGUUACUAAGAUAGACGUUCUACUCAUAAUCAAAAUUCCCACUUGGCCACUUGUAUAUGAGAGGUCUAUAUGAACGGUGUAUAUGAGAAGUGUAUAUGAGAGGUGUAUAAUGAGGGUUGUAUAUAGGAGGUGUAGAUGAGAAGUGUAUAUGAGGGGUGUAUAUAAGGGUUUAUAUAAGGGGUGUGUGUGGGAGGUGUAAAUGAGGGUUGUAUAUGAGUGGAGUAUAUGAGGGGUGUAUAUGAAAGGUGUUUAUGAGAAGUGUAUAUGAGAAGUGUAUAUGAGACGUGUAUAAUGAGGGUUGUAUAUAGGAGGUGUAGAUGAGAAGUGUAUAUGUAAGGUGUAUAUGAGGGUUUAUAUAAGGGGUGUGUGUGGGGGAGGUUUAAAUGAGGGUUGUAUAUGAGUGGAGUAUAUGAGGGGUGUAUAUGAGAGGUGUAUAUGAGAAGUGUGUAUGAGAAGUGUAUAUGAGGGG